UCUUACGGGAGGAAGCAGUGGGGAAUUUUGCACAAUGGGGCAAACCUUAUGCAACCAUGCGGCGUGUAUGAAGAAGCCUUCCGGGUUGUAAAGUACUUUCAGCAGUGAGGAAGGUGGGUAUGUUAAUAGCAUAUUCAUUUGACGUUAGCUGCAGAAGAAGCACCGGCUAAUUCCGUGCCAGCAGCCGCGGUAAUACGGAGGGUGCGAGCGUUAAUCGGAAUUACUGGGCGUAAAGCGCAUGCAGGUGGUUUGUUAAGUCAGAUGUGAAAGCCCGGGGCUCAACCUCGGAAUUGCAUUUGAAACUGACAAACUAGAGUACUGUAGAGGGGGGUAGAAUUUCAGGUGUAGCGGUGAAAUGCGUAGAGAUCUGAAGGAAUACCGGUGGCGAAGGCGGCCCCCUGGACAGAUACUGACACUCAGAUGCGAAAGCGUGGGGAGCAAACAGGAUUAGAUACCCUGGUAGUCCACGCCGUAAACGAUGUCUACUUGGAGGUUGUGGCCUUGAGCCGUGGCUUUCGGAGCUAACGCGUUAAGUAGACCGCCUGGGGAGUACGGUCGCAAGAUUAAAACUCAAAUGAAUUGACGGGGGCCCGCACAAGCGGUGGAGCAUGUGGUUUAAUUCGAUGCAACGCGAAGAACCUUACCUACUCUUGACAUCUACAGAAGCCAGCGGAGACGCAGGUGUGCCUUCGGGAACUGUAAGACAGGUGCUGCAUGGCUGUCGUCAGCUCGUGUUGUGAAAUGUUGGGUUAAGUCCCGCAACGAGCGCAAUCCUUAUCCUUGUUUGCCAGCACUUCGGGUGGGAACUCCAGGGAGACUGCCGGUGAUAAACCGGAGGAAGGUGGGGACGACGUCAAGUCAUCAUGGCCCUUACGAGUAGGGCUACACACGUGCUACAAUGGCGCAUACAGAGGGCGGCCAACUUGCGAAAGUGAGCGAAUCCCAAAAAGUGCGUCGUAGUCCGGAUUGGAGUCUGCAACUCGACUCCAUGAAGUCGGAAUCGCUAGUAAUCGUGGAUCAGAAUGCCACGGUGAAUACGUUCCCGGGCCUUGUACACACCGCCCGUCACACCAUGGGAGUGGGCUGCAAAAGAAGUGGGUAGUUUAACCUUCGGGAGGACGCUCACCACUUUGUGGUUCAUGACUGGGGUGAAGUCGUAACAAGGUAACCG
This 1171-nucleotide ribosomal RNA is filed under the name uncultured bacterium. RNAcentral describes it as "bacterial SSU rRNA". It matches the Rfam family "Bacterial small subunit ribosomal RNA", at positions 337 to 1502 of the family's 1533-position model. The record is from RNAcentral.